UGGGUAAUCUUUGAACGUGAAUCGUGCUGGGGAUAGAUGAUUGCAAUUAUUCAUCUUCAACGAGGAAUUCCUAGUAAACGCAAGUCAUCAGCUUGCAUUGAUUACGUCCCUGCCCUUUGUACACACCGCCCGUCGCACCUACCGAUUGAAUGGUCCGGUGAAAUCUUCGGAUCUGAGAGAUGUUGGAUUAAUUUCUGACGCCUUUUAGAAAAGUCGCUUAAACCUUAUCAUUUAGAGGAAGGUGAAGUCGUAACAAGGUUUCCGUAGGUGAACCUGCGGAAGGAUCAUUA
Molecule: ribosomal RNA, 290 nt
Filed under: uncultured stramenopile
Lineage: Eukaryota
Description: partial 18S ribosomal RNA
Rfam family: Eukaryotic small subunit ribosomal RNA
Source: RNAcentral